RNAcentral lists this ribosomal RNA (662 nucleotides) under Bacillus sp. N300I. RNAcentral's name for it is "partial 16S ribosomal RNA". Lineage: Bacteria; Bacillati; Bacillota; Bacilli; Caryophanales; Bacillaceae. The record is from RNAcentral.
AGGCGGAGUGCUUAAUGCGUUAGCUGCAGCACUAAAGGGCGGAAACCCUCUAACACUUAGCACUCAUCGUUUACGGCGUGGACUACCAGGGUAUCUAAUCCUGUUCGCUCCCCACGCUUUCGCGCCUCAGCGUCAGUUACAGACCAGAGAGUCGCCUUCGCCACUGGUGUUCCUCCACAUCUCUACGCAUUUCACCGCUACACGUGGAAUUCCACUCUCCUCUUCUGCACUCAAGUUUCCCAGUUUCCAAUGACCCUCCCCGGUUGAGCCGGGGGCUUUCACAUCAGACUUAAGAAACCGCCUGCGCGCGCUUUACGCCCAAUAAUUCCGGACAACGCUUGCCACCUACGUAUUACCGCGGCUGCUGGCACGUAGUUAGCCGUGGCUUUCUGGUUAGGUACCGUCAAGGUGCGAGCAGUUACUCUCGCACUUGUUCUUCCCUAACAACAGAGUUUUACGAUCCGAAAACCUUCAUCACUCACGCGGCGUUGCUCCGUCAGACUUUCGUCCAUUGCGGAAGAUUCCCUACUGCUGCCUCCCGUAGGAGUCUGGGCCGUGUCUCAGUCCCAGUGUGGCCGAUCACCCUCUCAGGUCGGCUACGCAUCGUUGCCUUGGUGAGCCAUUACCUCACCAACUAGCUAAUGCGCCGCGGGCCCAUCUGU